UACGAAGGUCCCAAGCGUUAUCCGGAAUUAUUGGGCGUAAAGCGCAUGUAGGCGGUUUGUUAAGUCUGGUGUGAAAGCUCAAGGCCUAACCUUGAAAUUGCAUUGGAAACUGGCAAACUAGAAUACUGGAGGGGUAAGUGGAAUUCCAUGUGUAGCGGUGGAAUGCGUAGAUAUAUGGAGGAACACCAAUGGCGAAGGCAGCUUACUGGACAGUUAUUGACGCCGAGAUGCGAAAGCGUGGGGAGCAAACAGG
Molecule: ribosomal RNA, 253 nt
Filed under: uncultured bacterium
Lineage: Bacteria
Description: partial 16S ribosomal RNA
Rfam family: Bacterial small subunit ribosomal RNA
Source: RNAcentral